Molecule: long non-coding RNA, 469 nt
Organism: Hyla sarda
Lineage: Eukaryota; Metazoa; Chordata; Amphibia; Anura; Hylidae
Exons: 3
Source: RefSeq, a predicted model, not a curated record
AAAGGCAGCACCUCAGUCGUCCAGAGUAGGAGAAGAAAAUGAAAAAGGAGAUGGGGUGCACGCAUUCCUAGAACCUGGGUCCACUGGUUCCUCAAUCCAGAAAAGUAAAGAUGAUGCAGCACUCCACAAUAAUGCAUAAGGUGGUGUUUAUUCCAGCAUGUGCAAAGACAACGUUUCACCAGUCUCUCACUGGCUUUCUCAAGUAACUGAUAGUGACAUAGACCACCUACACACCGGGUACUUGCCAUGAUGCCGACCACCUAUUCGGAGUUCACUCCAUUUCUAUCAUUGGAUUCCACACUGGACUAUAUAAUCUACUCAUUCACCUUUCCUCUUCUUAUUAUGCGUUUUACUACCCAGAGCGCACCCCAGUUGGUACCGGUACACGCACAGUGAUCUGGAGCAUGGGAUCGGUUCAUAUACACCGACAGCUCAACGAAAUUAUGAUGGUUGACAGGACCUGCGGUCG